UAGGGAAUCUUCCGCAAUGGACGAAAGUCCGACGGAGCAACGCCGCGUGAGUGAUGAAGGCUUUCGGGUCGUAAAACUCUGUUGUUAGGGAAGAACAAGUGCUAGUUGAAUAAGCUGGCACCUUGACGGUACCUAACCAGAAAGCCACGGCUAACUACGUGCCAGCAGCCGCGGUAAUACGUAGGUGGCAAGCGUUAUCCGGAAUUAUUGGGCGUAAAGCGCGCGCAGGUGGUUUCUUAAGUCUGAUGUGAAAGCCCACGGCUCAACCGUGGAGGGUCAUUGGAAACUGGGAGACUUGAGUGCAGAAGAGGAAAGUGGAAUUCCAUGUGUAGCGGUGAAAUGCGUAGAGAUAUGGAGGAACACCAGUGGCGAAGGCGACUUUCUGGUCUGUAACUGACACUGAGGCGCGAAAGCGUGGGGAGCAAACAGGAUUAGAUACCCUGGUAGUCCACGCCGUAAACGAUGAGUGCUAAGUGUUAGAGGGUUUCCGCCCUUUAGUG
RNAcentral lists this ribosomal RNA (500 nucleotides) under uncultured Bacillota bacterium. RNAcentral describes it as "bacterial SSU rRNA". It matches the Rfam family "Bacterial small subunit ribosomal RNA", at positions 355 to 845 of the family's 1533-position model. Lineage: Bacteria; Bacillati; Bacillota. The record is from RNAcentral.